GGUAAAAUGGCCGAAUGCUAGGCGGCGGGUUGUAGCCCCGAUGACGUAGGUUAGAUUCCUACUUUUACCA
Molecule: transfer RNA, 70 nt
Filed under: Dryophytes andersonii (pine barrens treefrog)
Lineage: Eukaryota; Metazoa; Chordata; Amphibia; Anura; Hylidae
Description: tRNA-Tyr
Rfam family: tRNA
About the family: Transfer RNA (tRNA) molecules are approximately 80 nucleotides in length. Their secondary structure includes four short double-helical elements and three loops (D, anti-codon, and T loops).
Source: RNAcentral